CAGCCGCCGCGGUAAUACGAAGGGGGCUAGCGUUGUUCGGAUUUACUGGGCGUAAAGCGCACGUAGGCGGAUCCUUAAGUCAGAGGUGAAAUCCCAAGGCUCAACCUUGGAACUGCCUUUGAUACUGGGGAUCUCGAGUUCGGGAGAGGUGAGUGGAACUGCGAGUGUAGAGGUGAAAUUCGUAGAUAUUCGCAAGAACACCAGUGGCGAAGGCGGCUCACUGGCCCGAUACUGACGCUGAGGUGCGAAAGCGUGGGGAGCAAACAGGAUUAGAUACCCCUGUAGUCCCUGUCUCUUAUAA
Molecule: ribosomal RNA, 301 nt
Filed under: uncultured bacterium
Lineage: Bacteria
Description: partial 16S ribosomal RNA
Rfam family: Bacterial small subunit ribosomal RNA
Source: RNAcentral